UUUUUUUUAGUUUUUUAAAAUUAUUAUUAUUUUGAGACAGAGUCUUGCUCUUUCGCCCAGGCUGGAGUGCAGUGGCGCCAUCUCGGCUCACUGCAAGCUCCACCUCCCGGGUUCACGCCAUUCUCUUGCCUCAGCCUCCCAAGAGCUGGAACUACAGGUGCCCACCACUACGCCAAGCUAAUUUUUUGUAUUUUUGGUAGAGACGGGGUUUCACCGUGUUAGCCAGGAUGGUCUCAAUCUCCUGACCUCGUGAUCCACCCGCUUCGGCCUCCCAAAGUGCUAGGAUUACAGGCACGAGCCACUGCGCCUGGCCAACCCUCUUUUUUUUAAAUGUACACAUUUACAACUGUGCAUUUCCCUUCUAGGCACUGCUUUAACUGCAUGCACAUUUUGGUACAUUGUGUUUUUAUUUUCAUUCAUCCCAAAUUAUGCUUUAAUUUCUUUUGAUGUAUUGUUUUACUUACUGUUUAUUUAAAGUGUGUUGACAUAUUUGUGAAUUUCCCAAAUUUCUUUCAGUUACUGAUGUUUAGUUUCAUUCCAUUUUGGUCAGAGAACAUAUACUUUAUGUUUUCAACCCUUUUAGUUUUAUUGAGACUUGUUUUAUGCUGUAAAAUAUCAUCUAUACUGGAGACUGCUCCAAAGUACUUAAAAAGAGUUUGUAUUGUUCUGUUGUAGGGUAGUGAUAUAGAUAUCCAUGGGGUUUAGUUUACUUACAGUGUUUUUCAAGUUUUCUGUUUCCUUGCUGAUAUACUGUCUAGUUGUUCUAUCAACUAUGGAAAGUAAGGUAAUGAUAUAUCCAACUAUUAUUGUUACCUAAGAGAAAAGCUCUAAAAUACAUGAAAUAGUUCUCUCUUCAAGUUUGUCAGUUUCUGUUCAUGCAUUUUGGAGCUGUUCUUUUAGGUACAUGUAUGCAUAUAAUUAUUAUAUAUUCUUAUUGAAUAACAUUUUUUCAUUAUAAAAUGCCCUUCUUUGUCUUUAGUAAUAAUUUUUGUUUUAAAAUCUAUCUCACCACAUAUCAGUUAUAGUAACUCCAUCUCUGUUUUUAUUAUUGUUUACAUAGUGUAUCUUUUCCUGUUCUUGAUCAUUCAAUCUAUUUAUGUCCUUGAAUCUGAAGUGUGUCUUUUGUAGACAGUGUAUAGUUGGGCCAUUAAAAACAUCUUUCUAGCUUGUAGACAGCUGCUUUAUUAAAAAAAAAAAAAGAAAGAAGGAAAAAAAUUUUAAAUAAAAAUAUCUUUUUUCCAAUCUCUGCUUUUUUAUUAGAAUAUGUAGCUUAUUUAUAUUUAAUGUAAUUAAUGAUAAAUUAGGAUUAACAUCUGCCAUUUUACUGUUUGUUUUCUACCUUUUUAUUCUUUUGUUUCUACAUUUCUCCAUUACUGGCUUCCUUUGUGUUAAAUAGAUAUUUUCUUAUACAGUAUUUUAAUUCUCUCAUUUCUUUUACUAUAUUUUUGAGUUUUCUUUCUUAGUGGUUACCUUGGCAAUUACCACUAAUACCUUACUUAAUAACAAUGUUAUCUAAAUCAAAUGAUAUUAUUUAACUCCAAUAGUCUACAAAACUUUGUUCCUAUAUAGCUUUUUUUUACCCUUCCUGUAUGCCAUUAUCAUCACAAAUUACAUCUUUAUACAUUAUAUGCUUGUCAACAAGGAUUUAUAAUUAUUGCUUUAUGCAGCUGUCUCUUAAAACAGAUAGGAGAAGGAAAUGAAUUACAAGCAAAAAAUACACUUAUACUAUUUAUUUUUAAUAUUCAUCUGUAUGUAGUUUAUCUUUAUUAUUUCGUUUAUUUCUUCAUGUAGACCUGAGUUACUGCUUACUCUCCUUUAAGUCCAGCCUAAUGGGCUCCUUUUAGUAUUUCGUGUAGGAUAGGUAUCCUAGUGACAAGUCCUCUCAGCUUUUGUUUGUUUAGAAAUGGCUUAAUUUCUCUUUCAUUUUUGAAAGAUGGUUUUGUGGAUAUAGAAUUCUUGGUUGGCAGCUAUUUUCUUUCAGUGCUUUGAAUAUGCCAUACCACUGCCUUCUGGCCUCCAUGCUUUCUAAUGAGAAACUGUUAAUCUUAUUGAGGAUCCAUUAUACAGGUCAAGUCCCUUCUCUCUCUCUGCUUUUAAGAUUCUUUGUCUGUGGCUUUCAACAGUUUGAAUAUAAUGUGACUCAGUGUGGAUCUCUCUCAGUUUGUCAUACUUGGAGUUUAUUGAUCUUUUUAAAUGUAUAUAUUAGUGUUUUUCAUCAAGUUUAGGGAGCUUUGGCCAUUAUUUCAUCAAGUAAUCUUUCUGAAACUUUCUCUCACCUCUCCUUUUGGGAUUCCAUUAUGCAUAUGUUGAUAUAUUUAAUAGUGUCCCACAAGUCUCUAAUCAUUUUUCUGCCUGUUUUUUCUUUCUGUUCCUCAGACUGGAUAAUCUCAACUGACCUAUCUUCAAGUUUGUUGAUUAUUUUUAUCCUGCCUGAUCAAAUGUGCUAUUGGGUGCCUCUGGUUUAUUUUUCAGUUCACUUAUUCUAGCUUUCAACUCCAGAAUUACUAUUUUUUAAAUAAUUUUGACCCAUUUUUAUUCUCUAUUUGGUUAAACAUAGUUAUCUUUUGACAUGGUUUGGCUCUGUGCCCCAACCCAAAUCACAUCUCGAAUUGUAAUCCCCAAGUUUCAAGGAAGGGACCUUGUGGGAGGUGAUUGGAUCAUGGGGCGGUUCCCCCCAUGCUGUUCUCAUGAUAGUGAGAAAGUCCUCAUGAGAUCUGAUGGUUUUAUAAGUGUGUGAUGGUUCCUCCAUUGCUCUGUCUCUCCCUCACUCUCCUGCUGCCCUGUGAAGAAGGUGCCUGCUUCCCCUUCUGCCAUGAUUCUAAGUUUCCUGAGGCCUCCCCAGCCAUGUGGAAUUGUGAGUCAAUAAAACCUCCUUUGUUUGUAAAUUACCCAGUCUCAAGUUGUAUCUUUAUAGCACUGUGAAAAUGGACAAAUACAUCAUUCUUUGCUUCAGUUCUUCAGACAUAGUUUCCUUUAACUCUUUGAACAUAUGUUUAAAUAGCUAAUUUUACUCUCUGUCUAGUAAGCACAACAUUUGGGCCUCUUAGGGCCAACUUCUAUCAAUUGCUUUCCGUGUGUGUGUAUGGGACAUAAUUUUAUGUUUCUUUGCAUGUCUCACAAUUUUAUGUUGAAAUUUUGACAUUUAAAAAAAUAUAAUAUUACAAGUCUGAAAAUCAUAUUCUUCCCUGCUGAAUUGUGUUGUUGCUCCUUGCUUUUAAAUGUUGUUUUUAUUUAUUUCAUGGCUUUUCUGAACUAAUUCUAUAAAGUAUGUAUUGUUUAUUAUAUGUGGUCAUGGGAGUUAUCAAUUAGCUUAGUGAUUGGACAUCUAAUGAUUGAACAGAGAUUUCUUUAAAUGCUGGAACCAAUAAACCUCUAAAUCUUUGCCAUGGGUUACUAUAUACAUGUUGGAUCAUACCUUUAACACUCCACCAGGCAGUUCACAAUGCUGUUUUAGCCUUUACUUUCUGCUUGUGCAGAACCUUAAGGUCACCAAGAAGUGAGAGCUCAGGCCUCCUCAGCUCUUUCUUCAGAAUGCCCACAGGCCUACAUAUGCCCCUGACCUUCCAAAUUCUCAGGAAUAUGUCAGAGCAUUUCAAAGCUCCUAUGGACAUCUUAUUCCACAGCUUUUCCCUUUAAUCUUCUUGGUUAGUCUAUUGUUUGCACUAUCAUCCAUCUCAUGCAGCCUGAUAGUUAAAAGACGUGCCUAAAAUUAUUUUCAAUAAAUGCCUCUUAACCCCUGGGAGAGACUUUUUACACUUGGCAAGUUCAAACCACAUCAAGUAAAAAUGUACCUUUUCAGUGGAGCCUUCUAAGGAUGGAUCAAACAAUGUCAGUUCUUUGGGACUGAGGCUUUGAAUGAGCUCCAGCUCUGUUCUGAUCCUUUAAUACUGGAAUGCAGUUGUUAUUUUUCUAGGCUAUUGCUGAGCUGAAGAGUGGGAGAUGGGCCUAAGGAGUUUACUGGAGGUUAUACUCCAGUCAAAGAAGAUGGAAACCAAGAAAGGACACAUUUUGGAGAUUAGCACUGGCUCCAGGAACCCAGUGAACAGAAGACUCAGGCUGAAGGCUUGUGCAUUCAGCCCAGAGAAAAUCCACUUAAAUUCAGAACAAUUAAGGACUCUGGGGAAGAAGGACUUCACAUGGUAGUGUGAUUGGAAGGCAGAUAAAUUUUAGGACACAAUGGAAGUUCCUAAGAUUUUUUAUCCUUUUCCAAUAGGAAGGAUAAAAAAAUCAUCUAAAACUAGAGGAAAAAUCAUCUAAAACAAGGUAUAAAGAAAUGGCUCACGUGUGACCCUUAUUUUACUGUGACAUGGAGCAUUUGAUGAAGGAUGUGGGAAGGGAGCCUGCUUAACUAUGAAGUGAGUAGCAUCGCCCCAGGAGCACCAUGACAGAUGCACAGGACAUGGAGGGAAGGAAAUGGCAUCCUGGCACAGCCCUGGCUCUACAUUGAGCAAUGUAGACAAAAUCAUAAAGGCUGCUCUAGUUUUCUACUUUUAGAAUCAACCUACAGACAUGUAAGACUUAAUUGUAGUUGUAGAAUAAAAGAUAAAAGAUUAUUGGCUUUCAUAACAAUAAAGUCCUAACAAUGAUUCACAGUUAUUCCAUGAAUAAGGGUAGGGGAAAAGAGGGAGGAAUGUAAGGCAUUUUAUAUGGAGCAAGGGAGGCAAAAGACGUUGACAGAGGCUUAUGGAACAACACACACACGCACACAAAUAGAAGGAAUAUAUUGCUUAAAAUGACAAAAAUAGCCAACAUAGGCUGGGUGCGGUGGCUCAUGCCUGUAAUCCCAGCACUUUGGGAGGCUGAGGCGGACGGAUCACUUGAAGCCAGGAGUUCAAGACCAGCCUGGCCAACAUGGUGAAACCCCGUCUCUACUAAAAAUACAAAAAUUGACUGGGCGCAGUGGUGUGCAUCUGUAGUUCCAACUACUUGGGAGGCUGAGGCAGGAGAAUCACUUGAAUCCGGGAGGCGGAGGUUGCAGUGAGCCGAGAUCACGCCACUGCAUCCUAGCCUGGGUGACAGAGUGAGACCGUCUGAAAAAGAAAAAAGCCAACAUAGGAAUUUUUAAAAUAAUAUAUAAUUACCAAAAAUUGGGGAAAAUAGAGACAGGGAAGGCAGUUCUAUAAGCGAGAUAAAUCUUUAUCUUUUGUAUCAGAAAGUCAAUAAAUAUUGUCUGAAUUUG
This 5179-nucleotide long non-coding RNA is filed under the name Homo sapiens (human). Its description in RNAcentral is "HSALNT0372172". The record is from RNAcentral. Lineage: Eukaryota; Metazoa; Chordata; Mammalia; Primates; Hominidae.